UACGUAGGGUCCGAGCGUUGUCCGGAAUUACUGGGCGUAAAGAGCUUGUAGGCGGUUCGUCGCGUCGAUUGUGAAAACUUGGGGCUCAACUCCAAGCUUGCAGCCGAUACUGCCGGACUAGAGUUCGGAAGAGGCGAGUGGAAUUCCCGGUGUAGCGGUGAAAUGCGCAGAUAUCGGGAGGAACACCUAUGGCGAAGGCAGCUCGCUGGGACGUUACUGACGCUGAGACGCGAAAGCGUGGGGAGCAAACAGG
Molecule: ribosomal RNA, 253 nt
Filed under: uncultured bacterium
Lineage: Bacteria
Description: partial 16S ribosomal RNA
Rfam family: Bacterial small subunit ribosomal RNA
Source: RNAcentral